CUUGACAUUAUAAUUAUAAUCCCGAGAUUAUAAUAUUAGAAUUAAUAUUCUUGAGAUUAUAAUUUCAUGGACUAUAAUCCUUAAAUUAUAAUCCUUACAAACAAACAUAGCCCAGGUCUCAAACCUAACAUUUACACUAGGUUCGUUUACAAUAAAGUACACGCAAAUGAAAUUACAUAUUUCCACAUCUUUGUUCCUUACACAAUUUAACACUUGAUUACAUCAUACGUAUCUUAUAACAUUACAAAAAUUAGUAUAAACAUAGCAAAACUGCUACAUCAAUAUUAUCUAUCCUUAGACUUUACUAUUCCCUUCUCUUUAUCUUUAACUUCGGAUCUUUUUCGAUCUUUCGCCUUAUGUGAAAAUUUAAAUAGAAUGCAAGGGUGAGCAACUGAGCAUACCAAAUUUACUCAACAAGUUUAAAAGAUUUUAGAACAUAAGAACGAGUAUAAGUUUCAAUUAUAGAAUUAACAUCACACAUAAUGGUAAAACUGAUGAUUCAAAAAAAAAAAAAGAAUCAACAACAAUAACAUCACAAAAAUCUUGCUUUGGAUUUCAGAGUUUAUGGAAUUCAUCACAUCGUUAUUCACAAGGAUUUCAAUAUUUUUAGAGAGGUAACUGAGUGGUUGUAGGGACCAAGAAUUGAUUAUAAUGUUCAUCAGUCAAAGACUGAGAACUCUCUAGUGUGUUCAAUAAUCACAAAGAUUGUAAACUCUUUGAUAUGUUCAACAAUCAUAAAUAUUGUGAACUCUCCAUAAGGUAUUAUUAGGUGAUCAGUCUAACAUCAUCUCCAACUUAUGACUUCAUCAUAUCUGCACCGUAUUUUAACAGUGCGUCGAUGAUUUCAUCAUUUUUUCACCGUAAUUCAAUGAUAAUGGUCGAACACUCCCCUAUAUAGGGUUGUUCAACUCAGUUAAUACCAUCGGGAAUUCGCACCAAGAAAAAUUUGGUGCGGAGUAUUCAACUUAUCUUUAAGGAAUUUAUUGAAAUUCAAACGGUUAGUAAUCAUUCAAACAUGAACAAUUUGUUGACAGAAUUUAGCUGAAACAAAUGACAUCAACUCUUUAAUAUGCAUGUAUCUCCAUAGUACAAUUUCAACAAUUGAAAGAAUGCAAGAAACGCAUUACGAAGAAUUUAAAGAAUUCAAGAGAACUUGUUGAUUUAGCUGUUUAGUCUCGUAUCCUUUUUAUAUACUCAAUUUUGAGUCGGCUACAGUGUUAUGAAAUAUUAAUUCCCUCAUAAUAAUAUUAACAUUUGUCGGUUACUUCCCGUAAUUAUAUUUUAAUAUUAGUUACGCCUUUAAACCUAUUUUGAAGGUCACUUUCUAUCCAUUAUUGUAUUUCGACACUCAAAAAUUUAUUUUUCUGAAAACUUUAGUCUCAUGGCUUAGUUUUAACUUAUAUUCAUCAAUAAAUUUUUAUUACGCAAUUUUUUUGCUCACUUAAACAAUUUUUUAUUAAUUUUCCCGUUGUCCGAACCUUGCACAAGUCAUACUUGCCGAAUUAUUUUGGUCAAACUCUUUGUACUAGGGCUAGACAUACUCAUUUUAUAAUUCCUUUGAAAAUUUCAAAAAUUUUCCGAGUACGUUUAUUAAGUUGUUUCUGUUCAAAUUUUCAAUAAUCUUCAUAAUUAGAAAUUAAAUCCAAAAAUUAUUAAUUAUGGAUAAUAUUUUCCUUAAAUUAGAAUACACUUUCAUCUAAAAUUCCUUCAUUACACGUCCGUUUACGUUCAUUCAUGAGUUGAAAUACACUUUAUACUACCAGGUUUCAUACUUUAAAAGCACUGAUUUUUAUUUCCCUUGUAAACUAUCCAAUACCUUCUUUUGAAAAACUAGGUCAGAAAGUUACUUAAAUUGCCAUGUUUUGCUAGAAAAUUUAUCAAAAAUAAUUUACAAGGAAAUUAAGUCUCAAACAUGUGCAUGAUUUUAGCUGACUUACAAAGCUAUCAUUCCCAAUAAACCUUACUCAAAAAUUCGAAAUACACUAAAAGUUCUGAUCAUUACAAAAUCAGGCCCUGGUUUAGGAUUUUAUCCCUAUUUUGCUCAAAACUUCAAUAAAGUUUGUUUUAAAUUUUCUUUUCUUGUUGUUAGAAAUGGGUUUGGACAAAAUAAAUAUUUAAGCAUUUUGAGGCUUAAUUUAAUGUGGGACUCACACUUCGAAAAUAUCAAGUCUUUGCACCAAUGCGUUCUCCUUCGCGAGGAGUAUAACGUGAUAUAUUUAUGUGUUCAAAUCCAUUAAGAAUUGAAUGAGAAAAUUGACUCCAAAGUCACCUACUUGAAAUGUUGAAAAUUGUAAAAGUCCCACAUAGGACAAAAUGAAGAAUUUAUAUAUGGGAUGUUUGCUUAAUGGAAAGGGCCCCAAGGGGCAUCCCACUUUUGUGGAAGACAGAGGACCUAGCCAAGGCUUGGUUUGAACCCACACGCGCGCCGUCGUCUGGACGGGCGGGUUGGGUCGGAAUAUAUAAUUUUUUGGACAAAAUCUAUUUCAAAUUAUCAUCACGAUACUACGUCGUUUUGCCGAACAGUUGCACGCCAACAGUAAUAUCCCAACUAAUACACCGCAGAAUUAUUCUAUAAAUAAUCCAUCUGGGCGCGCAUUAUAACAAAAGUUUAAUUUUCCUAUUCUGUUUUCCUUCCCGUUUCUGCAAAAGUUCCCGUUUCGUUCUCUGCCAAAGUUUAGACAAACACUGUGCAGUAAGUUUUUUCUUUAUUCCUUCCCAGAUUUUCUUCAUGCAUCAUUACUAUUCAUUCCUUCCAGUUUAGUACAUAACAUAGAAUUGCGUUCAAAGUGUUCUUAAUUUUGAAGUGCUUCUAAUUAAGAACUGAAAAUCCGUUUAAUUUUGGGAAGCAAUUAUUCAAUUAAUCCUUUAACACAAGUGAGGAAAUAAAUUUGCUUUAAUGAGACUUUGUGAAUUCAAAGGACUCGAAUUUAUCUAUUUUAUAUUUCCAAAAAAUUCCAACUUCAAUUUUCAAGUAAGUCUAAUAUUUUUCAUUUUAUAAUUUUGUUCUGUUUUGCUCAACUAUAUAUAUAUAUAUAUAUAUAUAUAUAUAUAUAUAUAUAUAUANNNNNNNNNNNNNNNNNNNNNNNNNNNNNNNNNNNNNNNNNNNNNNNNNNNNNNNNNNNNNNNNNNNNNNNNNNNNNNNNNNNNNNNNNNNNNNNNNNNNAAUAGACAACAAGUUUUAGAUCAACAGCUGCAGCGGAAUAAGCAAACCAAUUAGAAGAGUCAAGUAGAGCAUAAAAUCUACUAUCUUCUAUGAUUUAAAAAGUUUUUCAUCAACUUUAUCGCUGAGACUCAGCUUAAUAAAUAAAAUCAAAUCAUCCCUGCACCACGGCCAAGGAUAUUCAUAUAAUCAUCAAUGGUCAUGAUUAUACCGAAUAAAAAACGUUGUCGAUAUAUAUGCAAAAACGUUAUCUAUUUAAAAAGGCAUUUUUUUAGUUUUAAAUAGAUAACAUUUUUUUUAAAAACGUUGUGUAUGUGAAAAACACGGAGCUUAAUUUAGGCGGAAGUGAAAACUUAGAAUUAAAAAUCCUAAAUAGUUCUUUCUCUCUCAAAAGUUUUCGUAUUUCAUCUCACACUUCUCUCUUUCUCUACUCCUAAACAGUCACGAAAACUAAGGUUCAAAUGGCCAAAACCAGAGGGGAUUCAGUAUCGUUCGUCAACCAGUUCAAAGGGAAGAAGGAUCGAUAGUGGCUCCCAAGCCUAACCGUCGUUCGAAUCGGCUUCGCCAGAGAUUGGGUACCGAUUUUGGGGUUUCUUCUCAGAGCAUGAAACAUAGAGGGAAAACAUCGGGUAAAACGAUUUUGUGUGCAGGAUAUUGAACCUAGCAGAACUGAUGCCUCCGUGGUGGUGUCGGACUUCGUUGAUGGCAUCGUGAAGGAGCAGAAGUAACAGAAAGCGGGUGGAGUGAAUGAUGAUGUGGAGAUGGAUCCGGAUGAGGUGGAGAUGAUGAAGAUGAUGGGGAUUCCGGUAGGGUUUGAUUCAACCAAGGGGAAGCCCGUGGCUGGUAAUGAUGCCUAGACAGUAUAUCAAUCGUUGAUUUUUAUUUCUCAGAGGUUAGGGUUUCUUCAUUUUUAUAUUUUCAUGUAUUCCCCCUUAUUAGCAAAUUAAUUAUAUUAUACUAUUUUUCCCCUUAAUAGAAAAUUAAUUGUUAGUGAUGGAUAUAUUGAGGAGGCAACAUUAGGAAUUUCAUUUAUUUACUCUACUAUUGGAAUUGCAAAUUUGAAAAAAGGGUUUUACAUUCAAUGGGUCUAUUGAGAGUAAUCUUCAUUCAAUGGGUCUCAUGUUUUCAAGUUCAGUCUGGUCGUCGAGGCUGGAAUAUUGCAUUGCUUUAAGCUAUAGUCACGAGUGUUGGUUUUUGCAUUUCGCCGAAACGUUUUAUGCUGAAUUAAUAUGCAAUAUUGUUAUUUAGUGAUACAGCAGUUUGCUACAUUAAGUAUAUUAUACUUUAAGUAUAUUAUAAACUUCCUACUGGAGUUUUGAGUUCUAAUUUGAUUAUAAUGCAGGUAUGAUUUUAAUAAAAUCCAACUUCUUUUCAUAAGUUUGCCUGUUUGCCCUUCUCUCGACAAGUUGGGAAAUUUCUUAUAAUGGAUACAAACUUGAAGAGUUUGUACCCCAGAAAACAUCUGCUUAUAUAAGCCAAAAUGAUCAACAUAUCCCUGAGAUGACUGUUAGGGAAACACUUGAUUUUUUAGCCCGCUUUCAGGGUAUUGGAAGUCGAGCAGGUAAUCCUGCUUUGAUCACAGAGAAACUACAAUUAGUUCGAAAUCUUUAUUAGUAUAUUCUAGUACUGGUAAUUGAUGUAAUUUUUUUUUUUACUUUCAUAUAGACGAUGAUUGAGGUCAGCAGAAGGGAGAAAGAGGCAGGAGUUGUUCCAGAUCCAGAUAUAGAUACUUACAUGAAGGUAUUAUCAUCUCUACUGUUCUUCCUGUCCAAACUUCUGGAGUUAUGAGACUGUCUCACAAUGGAUAGAAUCUGUCGUCCUUUAAACAAUUCAAAUUAAUCUAGUAUGAAUUACUGCUAUGUAGCCUUUGUUUCCUUACAGAUAUCCUGAAGGGACUUCUACUGUGGUUGUUUCAAGUAGAAUUAUUACUUGAUUGUUGGAAAUAUCUCAAGAAAUUAUUGUUGGGAACAUACAACUUGCAGCUGAAACAUAUGUGAAAUUAUUUCUUGCAGAUAACAAUUCUAUCAAACACAGGCCAACCAAAACUAAGAAAUUAACAUCCCAUGUGCUUCUUUGAAUGACCAUGAUACAGACUUGAAGAAAGAAUAAUCUUAAAACUAUGACUACUUGGCCAUCAGUAAAAUUACAUAAUACUUCUUCUGCCUUUAAAAUGAUUCAUCAAUAGUUAUGAUUUAUUAGUCAUCCUGGUCAGGAAAUGCGGUAAAGCUUAAUCUGAUACCCAAAUUGGAAGGCAACCUUAACUUUGAAGUAAUGCUUCAUGUACCAGAGAUGUAGAUACUCAAUGCUAAUGCUAGAUACCUGUAUCUAGCACACUGUUGACUUCAAUAGGUCUCUGCAGUGUUUUGCUAAUGCAAUAGCUUUGUCCAUCUGCUUGAAUGUGUUGCUUAAGUAUGAUUUCUUGAAUAAGUAAUGAUGGCCUUGCCAUGUGAGACAUGUCGCCUUAAGUUCUUAGGGAAGUUAGAAGUCAUUCUUAUAAAAGAAAGAAAGGGAAAAUAAACAUCCAUCUCCAGUGCAAGUUGAUUUCCUUAUCACGAGGUUAUUCACAGGAUCGUUGAUAAGCUCUGACUUAUCACCAAAAAAAAAAGAUUGUUGAUAAUCUCUAUGCUGUUGGGAAGCUCAAGUCUAAAGAUGCUUUAACUCUGCUAACAUUUUCAGGCAAUUUCUGUUGAAAGACAAAAGGAAACUCUUUAGAUUGAUUACAUUUUAAGAGUAAUUCUUUUCAGCUGAUCUCGAGCUUAAUUUCUUAUUUUGACAAUGCAUUAUCCAUUAAUAACCUUUGAGUUCUAGUUGUGAGUUCCAGUCUGUAAGAUAUUGCCAUUUUUCACAUGUCUUUGCAGAUUUUUGGUCUUGACAUAUGCGCUGACGUACUGGUUGGAGACGCAAUGAAAAGAGGCAUCUCUGGUGGCCAGAAGAAAAGAUUGACCACAUGUAGUUUGAAUUCAGUAAUGGCAGUUUUAGUAUUACUAAUGCGAUUUCCCAAUCAAAAAAAUGUCAUUUUUAACUUCAAUUAGUAGUAUAAAUGGUGAGAAAUAAAUAUAUUUCGUGUUGACUUUGUCCAUUUCUCCCACACAGCUGAAGCAUUCCAAAUACAUGCAUAUUUAACUUUGCAAUUGUGCCUACCGGCUUUUGUUUCUGCACUACUACCUGUUAUAUUUAAUCUUAAUGAUUUUUAUAACACUGUUAUAUUUAAUCUUAAUGAUAUUUAAUCAAUUUAGGUUUAUUUAAAAGCUACUAACAGAGAUGAUGUGCUAUAUUGUGUUGCUUUUGUUGAGACGCUGUCUCUAUGACAGUGAUGAUGAGGUCAGUUGUAUUUUUAUUUGAAGUCUAUAGUUUAUGAUUCUUAUACACUGUAGUGAUAUUUUAUACUUGUUUAGAAGUUGGUGCAUAAAUUGGAUCUUCUGGUUUGUUUUCCUUGUUCAUUAUGGUUUAUUCUUUUCACAUUCACAAGCUUAUCAUUUGAUUCAAAAUUUCAAGGAUUAUUGAAUAAAGAUUGAAACUUUAAGCAUUUUUCUUGGGUAGUUGGAUGUAUAGGCUCAUGUUAUCUUCUGACUAUUGCAGUGAAUUUUGGUGUAUUGUGAAAUUAUUGAAAAAAAGUCUUACUGACAUGCAGAAGGUAUUACUCAGCUAGGUACCUUAAGGUCCACUGUAUUAGAGGCUGAAUACUAUGUAGUUUGGACAUUGUCAAUAUGAGCACUACUCUAGUAUGUAAAUGUACUUCAUGAUAUUCAUACCGAAUAAUCCCUGGUCAUAAUCAUACCAAGUCCAUCUAUGCACGUAAGCCAAAGAUGAUUUUCAUCACAAUAUAAGCAUGAGGAUGAUGACAAUGACAUAAUAAUUCAAUAAAACAAGUUCAAUGAUAAAAUUUAAAGAUUUAUAAUUUAAUUUAUCCAGGAAUCAAUAAUGUCCAAAUUGUCAACAUGAUACUGCUUUGUGAGGUAAAAUUCAAGAAUGCUCAGAAGAAUAUUUCUAUGAAAAGAUACUGGAUGAAGCGUAAAUAUCCAAGAUAUUCUACUAAUUUCAUGGAGUAUAGAAGUCAAAACUUUAACCAACUGAGUAUAAUAGAAUAUAUGAAACUGCAAAUGAAUUUUCGCCCGCCAUGCGGUAAUCCACGUAGACAGAUCAUUUCCACAAUUUAAUAAGGAAUGAAUACGAAGGAUCAUUCACCAUGCAUGCGGUAAUCCACAUAGACAGGUUAUUCUAACAGAAUAAUAAAGAAUGGAAUAACAGAAGAAUUCACCAUGCAUUCGAUAGACCGCACAGACAUGUUAUUUUAAUAGAAUAAUAAAGAAUGAAACCAGAUCAUGCGUAAUCCGCACAGACAGGAUAUUCCAACAGAAUAAUAAAGAAUGAAAUAACAACAAUAUUCACCAGGCAUGCGAUAGACUGCACAGACAGGUUAUUCCAACAGAAUAAUAAAGAAUGAAAUAACAACAAAAUUCACCAGGCAUGCGAUAGACCGCACAGACAGGUUAUUCCAACAGAAUAAUAAAGAAUGGAAUAACAGAAGAAUUUUACCAUGUAUGCGGUACUUCGCAUAGACAUGUUAUUCCAACAUAAUAAUAAAGAAUGGAAUAACAACCCUUACGAGUAUUGAAAGAAAAUAACUCUCUUCAUGAAUACGAAAGAAUAAUACCCCUUACCUUAGAAGAAAACUGGAUACUGGAAUAGUGAGGUAGCAGACUUCUCUUCUUCUUUCUCUCUAUAAUUUCUCUCUAUAAUAAUUGCUCUAUAGCUUUAGUGAAUUGGUGAGAAAUGAAGGAAGAAUGAGCUUCUAUUUAUAGGAAAAUAUAGUUUCGAUAAUUGCACGUUUUGGGGCUCGAAAUAUUACAGUAUAAUACCUUCCUCUUUUUCUUCAUUUUUAAUUUAGUCCUGCAAGUAUUAUCAAACUUGCACCACCUCCCCUAAUAGUAAAUAAUGUGAAUCAAUAGUUCAAUCAUGUGAAUCAAUAGUUAUAAUCAUGUGAAAAUACGAAUUACAGUAUAGUACCUCCAUCUAUACCUCUAUUUUUAACUUAGUCAUGCAAGUAUUAUCAAUCUUGCACCAACUCCCCUAAUAGUAAAUCAUGUGAAUCAAUAGUACACACAUGUGAACACAUAGUUAUAAUCAUGUGAAUUAAUAACAAUUAAUUGCUCAUUUAUCCGGUACCCGAUUGGUCAACAUAACCUCCAGACAUCAAUUAUUAUCUAAAUAAAUGUCGAUUUCUACUAACACUAAUAAUUCCAACACAAUGAAACUAUCAAUUUCAUCUUUAAUCAACACAAACUUAUUCAUGAUUAAUAUUAUAACUCAUAAUAUUUAACAACCAGGUCGUUCCCAGGAAAGAGGGGGCUUUCCGAUAAGGAUUUCUCCCUAUUAGCGCGCAAUUAGAUUAUCUAACCUCUCCUUGACAGAACUUAUAGACAUUGUAAAUAUUGCAAUUUAAUAAUAUGAAUAACUUUGUCAUCUCAAUUAUUGAUUUAAUAAUAUAUCGUAUUAUGCAGAUGAUACUGUGAAAAUAAUUGAAUCAAUAAUAUGAAAGAUAUGAUGCGGCAAUUACUGCAGCAAUAAUUGAGUAUAACUGAGUGUCUUCUUACGUAAGCAUCAAUAAUCAAUACCGUGUGCUACUAUGCAACCACGCGUAUUACUGUACUUUUACUACCAGGUAGUUCAACAGUUUUAACGGUAACACUUUCGCUGUUAUUUUUAUAAAAAAAUAAUUCUGUCGUUUUCUAAAUACGACAAUACUUCCGUUGUGGAGUCCACCAAUGAUUGUGCCGUCGUACGGAUAUUCCCGACAAAAAGAAUAUUCCCCGACCAAACGAAUAUUUUAUAACAACUUGCAUACUUUGCAAAAUUUAUAAAUAUUACCCACAACUAUAACAUUAUAUCAAAUCCACACCAUAAUAUUCAAAAAUAUAUUUCAAAAAAAAUAUUCUUUAUUCAUAAAAGUUGGGGUCUUACAUAUAUAUUACGGAAUAACAAUCUUAAAGCAAAUUUAAUGAUUCUGUAAUUGUAGUAUUAUUUAAUCUGUUUAUUUAUGUGAACAGAAGAUCAGUUUUAAAACAAAUUUUCUAUAGAAAUAUAAUUAUGUAGAAACAGUAUUUAAACAGAAUAAAAUUACAUAGUAUUAUGUUAAUAUAAAGUAUUCUGUUAUUAUAUAUAUUACAGAAAUAUUAUAUAUAUUACAUGUUAACUGAUUUAUAUAUUCUGUUAUUAUAUAUGUUCCAUGUUAAUUGAAUGCAUUUUAAUAUUCUGUUAUUGUUUAAAUUUAUAUGAGUAGUACAGUAUUGUGUACUAUAGGAGUAAUAAAUCAAUAAAUGCAAAUUGCAAUAGCAUGUGAUUGUCAAAACUUAUCCAACUAUAGAAUGCAAAUCUAUUAAACAGAAAUUUAUAAACAGAAUUUGGAUUUCUGCUAAACAAAAUUUGUUGCUUGAAUUUUGCAAACAAAUUUUGUUGUUUGAAUUCUGUUAAAUUUUGUAAAACAGAAAAUUUUGUUUCUAUUUAUUCAUAAUUUUCUUCUUUGUAUAACAGAAAUGACAUCUACUAGUACCAUUCCUGCCGUGAGUAUGUCUCAUGGAGAAAAGACUGAAAAGUUCAAUGGAACUGAUUUCAAGCGUUGGCAACAAAAGAUGCUCUUCUAUCUCACAACAUUGAAUUUGGCAAGGUUUCUAAAAGAGGAUUGUCCUACUCUUGUUGAAGGAGAAACAGACAAAAAAAAAGUGGCUGCAGUUGAUGCAUGAAAAUAUGUAGAUUUCUUUUGUAGAAAUUAUGUGAUGAAUGGAUUAGAAAAUACACUGUAUAAUUUGUAUUGUACAAUUCAAAUUGCAAAGAAACUUUAGGAAUCUUUAGACAAGAAAUAUAAAACUGAAGAUGGUGACAUGAAAAAAUUCAUUGUUGGUAGAUUUCUUGACUAUAAAAUGGUAGAUUCUAAAGCAGUCAUCACUCAAGUUCAAGAAUUACAAGUAAUUCUACAUGAUAUUCAUUCUGAAGGAAUGUCAUUAAGUGACGCAUUCCAGGUUGCUACAAUGAUUGAGAAACUUCCACAAUCAUGGAAAGACUUCAAGAAUUAUCUUAAGCAUAAACGCAAAUAGAUGAAUCUUGAAGAACUGAUUGUGCGACUUAGGAUUGAAGAGGACAAUCGAGGAUCUGAGAAGAAGAUUGAAAAAAAUUUCAUUGAAGCAAAGGUUAAUGUGGUAGAACAAAGGUCAAAUAAUAACAACAAAAGGAAGCGUGAAGGCAAAGAUACUUUCAAGGCCAAGAAAAAAUUCAAAGACAAAUGCUUCAACUGUGGCAUUCCAGGACAUAAAUCAAAUGAAUGUUGCAAGCCAAAGAAAUUCAAGAAAGAACAAAAGACUCAAGCAAAUGUGACAGAACUGGAAAAACUUUCUGAAAAUAUUUUAGACAUUAAUAUCUCCGUAGUUGUAUCUGAGUGUAACUUAAUAGGAAACCCCAAAGAAUGGUGGGUGGACACUGGGGCUACUCGCCAUAUUUUUUCCAACAAAUGGAUGUUUUCUACCUACAAACCAGUAGAAAAUGAUGAGCAACUCUUCAUGGAAAACUCCUCAAGUUCAAAGGUUCAAGAACGUGGAAAGAUUGUACUGAAAAUGACAUCUGGCAAAGAACUGACUUUGAAUGAAGUGUUUCAUGUGCCAGAUAUCCGCAAAAAUUUAGUUUCUGGGUCACUACUUAGCAAGAAUGGCUUCAAAUUGGUGUUUGUGUCUAAUAAAUUUAUACUUACCAAAAAUGAUGUUUGUGGAAAAGGGCUAUAUGUUUGAUGAGCUCUUUAAGAUGAAUGUAAUGACUGUUGUACCAAAGUCUAUUGAUAAUAAUAAAAUUAAUUCUUCUGCUUACUUGUUAGAAUCUUCAAAUAUAUGACAUGCUAGAUUAGGACAUGUUAAUUAUAAUACAAUACGUAGAUUAAUUAAUUUAGAAUUCUUGCCUAAAUUUGAUAUUAAUCAAAAAAAUAAAUGUGAAAUUUGUGUGGAGUCAAAAAUGACAAGAUUACCUUUUCAUUCUGUUGAAAGAAAAAUUGAACCUCUAGAUUUAAUUCACACUGAUAUAUGUGACUUAAAGUUUGUGCAAACAAGAGGUGGAAAAAAAAUAUUCCGUUGCCUUUAUUGAUGAUUGCACAAGAUAUUGUUAUGUAUAUUUGCUGAGAAGCAAAGAUGAGGCUAUAGAAAUGUUUCAACUUUAUAAAAAUGAAGUUAAAAAUGAACUUAGCAAAAAGAUUAAAGCAAAAAGAAGCGAUAGAGGUGGUGAAUAUGAAUCACCAUUUGAAGAGAUAUGCUCUACUCAUGGUAUUAUUCACCAAACUGCCGCACCUUAUUCACCUCAAUCUAACGGUAUUGCUGAACGCAAGAAUCGAAAAUUGAAAGAAAUGUUGAAUGCUAUGUUAACUAGUUCUGGAGCACCCUAGAAUUUGUGGAGGGAAGCUUUGCUUUCUGCAAAUUAUAUUCUUAACAAAGUGCCUCAUAAGAAAACUCACAAAACACCUUAUAAAUUAUGGAAAGGUCAUAGACCUUGCUAUAAAUACUUAAGAGUGUGGGGGUGUGUAGCAAAAGUGAUGCUUACUAAACCUAAAAAGGUAAAGAUAGGACCAAAAAUAAUUGACUGUGAGUUCAUUGGUUAUGCAAAUAAAGUAGUGCUUAUCGUUUUCUAGUUCAUAAAUCUGAAAUUCCUGAUGUUCAUGUUAAUACUUUUGUUAAAUCAAGAGAUGCAUCGUUCUUUGAGAAUGUGUUUCCAUAUAAUAUAAAUAAAGAGUCAAAUUCAUACAAAAGACCUUUGGAUGCUACUAGUAAUAAUCCUGAAAAUAUAGACAAAAAGUCUAUAGUGGAUGAACCUAGACAUAACAAAUGGGCAAAGACUUCAAAGUCUUUUGGUCCAAAUUUUCAAAUAUUUUUGUUAGAAAACGAUCCUUAAACAUACAAGGAAGCAAUAUCCUCUCCAGAUGCUUCUCAUUGGAAAGAAACAAUUAAUAGUGAAAUUGAGUCCAUUAUGCACAAUUAUACAUGGGAAUUGGUGAAUCUUCCACCUGGUUCCAAACCCUUAGGAUAUAAAUGGAUAUUCAAAAAGAAGAUGAAAGUUGAUGGUUCAAUUGAUAAAUAUAAAGCAAGGCUUGUUUUUAAAAGCUAUAGACAAAAGGAAGGAUUGAAUUAUUUCGACACUUAUUCACUAGUUACAAGAAUUACAUCUAUUCGUAUGCUAAUAGCAAUAGCAUCAUUAAAUAGACUUGAAAUACAUCAAAUGGAUGUAAAAAAUGCAUUUUUAAAUGGUAAAUUAGAUGAAGAAAUAUAUAUAGAACAACCUGAAGGUUUCAUUGCUCCUGGACAAGAGAGGAAAGUAUGCAAACUUGUUAAAUCCUUGUAUGGAUUGAAACAAGCACCAAAACAAUGACAUGAGAAAUUUGAUAAUGUUAUAUUAACAAAUGGAUUUAAAAUCAAUGAGUGUGACAAAUGUGUUUAUGUCAAAAGCACUCAUAAGGAAUAUGUUAUUGUUUGUCUUUAUGUGGAUGAUAUGUUAAUCAUGGGUAGCAACAAUGAAGUUAUCAACUCUACCAAAUGUAUGUUGUCAAAUAAAUUUGAUAUGAAAGACUUGGGGGUUGCGAAAAUAAUAUUAGGAAUCAAGAUUUCCAGAAUAUCUGAUGAAAUUAUAUUAUCUCAAACUCAUUACAUUGAAAAAUACUUGAAAAAUUUAACAAGUAUAAUAUAAUUCUAAAUAAGAUCCCAGUUGAUAUAAAUCUUCAUUUAGCCAAAAAUAAAGGUGAUAGCAUAUCUCAACUAGAAUAUUCUCGUAUAAUAGGCAGUUUAAUGUAUGUCAUAAACUGUACUAGACCAGAUAUAUCUUAUUUGGUAAGUAAGCUAAGUCGGUAUAUGAGUAAUCCAGGUAAAGAUCACAGGAAAGCUAUUUUUAGAGUUUAGGGAUAUUUAAAACAUACUCAAAAUUAUGGACUGCACUAUACAAGAUAUCCAACAGUAUUGGAAGAAUAUAGUGAUGCUAAUUGGAUAUCUGAUAAUAAAGACUCAAAAUUCACAAGUGGAUAUGUCUUUACCCUUGGAGGUACAGCGGUAUCUUGGAAAUCCUCAAAACAAAUGUGUAUUGCAAGGUCUACAAUGGAAUCAAAAUUCAUUGCGUUAGACAAAGCUAGAGAAGAAGCAGAGUGGCUUCGCAAUUUCCUAGAGGAUAUUCCAAAUUGGUCAAGACCUGUGCCAGCUAUAUGUAUACACUGUGAUAGCCAAUCAGCAAUUGGAAGAGCACAUAGUCAUUUAUAUAACGGUAAGUCACGCCAUAUACGACGAAGACAUAAUACCGUUAGACAAUUGCUCUCAAAUGAAAUUAUCUCAAUUGACUAUGUAAAGUCAAAAGAUAAUAUUACAGAUUCGCUUACAAAAGGUUUAACAAGAGAGCAAGUGGAAAGUUCAUCGAAGGGAAUGGGUUUAAAGCCUAUUGUUUAAAUAAGAGUCGUCAUAGUGGCAACCCAACCUAGCUGACUGGAGAUCUCAAGAUCUAGGUUCAAUGGGCAAACCGAACUAUGUAGUACUGAGUAAAUCAUUGAGGAGAUAUUUACUCCUAACCAUUCCUAUUAUGAGACAGUGCACAUCUGCCGCGAGAACCAGGAUAAGUUACAUUUUUAAUGACUUUUAUAUCUUGAAAUACGUUCAAAUGGAGUAUUGCAGAAUACUUUUGAUAGAAUUUACCUACGUGAGUAAAAAGGGGGCCACUUCUAUGAGAAUUUGAAGGCUGAAUUCUCUAAUAUACUCACAGAACCAAGAGGUGUUUCAAGGCCAAAAUGAACACAAACGUGAGAACCAAUUAUAUCUGAAGAAAUAUUUUUUGAAUUCUAUUGUCUUGAUUUACACGAAAAAACUAACAGUUCAAAGACAUCAAGUCUACUGAUUAGCUUAGUAAAUCCGAUAGACUUUACUAGGGCAAGUUCAAAGCCACUAGGCUACUUAACCCGAUGAAGUAUCUUUUCUCAUGUACUCGAACUAGUAUCUGCAUAUUCAUAACAUUUAUUUAUUUUUCUCUUUUUUUCCAUGUUGUAAAGUCAAUUUUACAUUCAUGUGGGGGAUUGUUGGAAAUGAGUUUGGACAAAAUAAAUAUUUAAGCAUUUUGAGGCUUAAUUUAAUGUGGGACCCACACUUCGAAAAUGUCGGGUCUUUGCACUAAUGCGUUCUCCUUCGCGAGGAGUAUAACAUGGUAUAUUUAUGUGUUUAAAUCCAUUAAGAAUUGAAUGAGAAAAUUGACUCCAAAGUCACCUACUUGAAAUGUUAAAAAUUGUAAAAGUCCCACAUAGGGCAUUAGAGGAAAAAAUGAAGAAUUUAUAUAUAGGAUGUUUGCUCAAUGGAAAGGGCCCCAAGGGGCACCCCACUUUUGUGGAAAGCAGAUGACCUAGCCAAGGCUUAGUUCGAACCCACACGCGUGCGCCGCUGCCGUCCGGACGGGCGGAUUGGGACGUGAUAUAUAAUUUUUUGGACAAAAUCUGUUUAAAAUUAUCAUCACAAUACUACGUCGUUUUGACGAACAGUUGCACGCCAACGGUAAUAUCCCAACUGAUAAACCGCGAAAUUAUUCUAUAAAUAAUCCAUCUGGGCGCGCAUUAUAACAGAAGUUUAAUUUUCCCGUUUUGUUUUCCUUCCCUUUUCUGCAAAAUUUCCCGUUCCGCUCUCUGCCAAAGUUUAGACAAACACUGUGCAGUAAGUUUUUUCUUUAUUCCUUCCUAGUUUUUCUUCAUGCAUCAUUACUAUUCAUUCCUUCCAGUUCAGUACAUAACAUAGAAUUGCUUUCGAAGUGUUCUUAAUUUUGAAGUGCUUCUAAUUAAGAACUGGAAAUCCGUUUUAUCUUGGGAAACAAUUAUUCAAUUAAUCCUUUAGCACCAGUGAGAAAAUAAAUUUGCUUUAAGAAGACUUUAUGAAUUCAAAGGACUCGGAUUUAUCUAUUUUAUAUUUCCAAAAAAUUCUAACUUCAAUUUUCAAGAGUCUAAUAUUUUUCAUUUUAUAAUUCUAUUUUGUUUUACUUAACUUUUUGUUAUUAUAUAUAUAUAUAUAUAUAUAUAUAUAUAUAUAUAUGUGUAUAUAUAUAUAUAUUACAGAAUAACACUUGUUACUAUUAGGAUUUUUUUAUUUUCUUUGCCAUGGUCCAUGUUAUCACAUUCUAACAUGUUAUUAUUUACUUUUAGCAUAUACAAAUUCAUAUACAUACAUAUUUAAUCCAUAAAAUAUAUCUUAGGAAUUAGUUUAGGGUUUUAACUACUCUCGAAACUGUUUAAUUCAUAAUUAAUUUCUCUAGAACUCCGAUUGUGGUCCAAUUUUUGGCAGAACCUCCCCUAUAAUAUCAUUUUUCUCUACUUAGGAGUCCAGGGUCAGCCUUGCCCUCAAACUCCACCACAAACAAGCAAUUUAAAUUCUGCCAUGUUCAGAUCAGCCUACUUACGGAAUUCAUAAUUAGAAGAAUUCCCAAAUUCUCAGAAAACGUAGCUAACUUUCAUGUCUAUAACAUAUAAAAAAAUCAGAUUUUAUCUCCUUAUGGUUUAGGAGUUAUAACUUUCAUAAAAAUAGGACAGAAACUGCCUUGUUUUCUCUUUUUUAAGUUUUUCCAAGUUUGCUUGUUUUAUAUUUUUGAUUUCUCUUUCAUGAUCCAAGGUUACAUACCAUUAACAUCUUUACAUGUUAAAAGUUUCAAAGAUUUCAUAAGGAAAAAAUUUACAAAAUUUUCUAUGAAUGAAAAGUGAGUUAAUUUAGGGUUUACCUUACCUAGCUACUUUAGUUUUUCCUUUCUUCUUCUCCUCCUUGCGUCCUAACUUCAAACCUUCUCUUCUUUCUCUGUUUUGUGAGCGCUCUUCUCUCUCUCUCUUGUUUCAGCGGCGCUUGGUGAGGGGUGUGUAUGGGUUUAUUUUCAUUUUUCUUUUGGGAUAAGCUUUGAUCUCAAAAUAUCUUGGGAGGCUUAUUGGAGAAGCCUCCUCCCCCCUAUCCUUAUCGCUUGGCUGAAAUUUGUAUAGUAUCUCUAAUUCUUUCUC
This 16172-nucleotide long non-coding RNA is filed under the name Panax ginseng (ginseng). RNAcentral's name for it is "long non-coding RNA (PGIN_LNC009080)". Lineage: Eukaryota; Viridiplantae; Streptophyta; Magnoliopsida; Apiales; Araliaceae. The record is from RNAcentral.